RNAcentral lists this ribosomal RNA (473 nucleotides) under uncultured organism. RNAcentral describes it as "partial 16S ribosomal RNA". It matches the Rfam family "Bacterial small subunit ribosomal RNA", at positions 335 to 799 of the family's 1533-position model. The record is from RNAcentral.
ACUCCUGCGGGAGGCAGCAGUGGGGAAUUUUGGACAAUGGGCGAAAGCCUGAUCCAGCAAUGCCGCGUGUGUGAAGAAGGCCUUCGGGUUGUAAAGCACUUUUGUCCGGAAAGAAAUCCUUGGCUCUAAUACAGUCGGGGGAUGACGGUACCGGAAGAAUAAGCACCGGCUAACUACGUGCCAGCAGCCGCGGUAAUACGUAGGGUGCGAGCGUUAAUCGGAAUUACUGGGCGUAAAGCGUGCGCAGGCGGUUUGCUAAGACCGAUGUGAAAUCCCCGGGCUCAACCUGGGAACUGCAUUGGUGACUGGCAGGCUAGAGUAUGGCAGAGGGGGGUAGAAUUCCACGUGUAGCAGUGAAAUGCGUAGAGAUGUGGAGGAAUACCGAUGGCGAAGGCAGCCCCCUGGGCCAAUACUGACGCUCAUGCACGAAAGCGUGGGGAGCAAACAGGAUUAGAUACCCGAGUAGUCCCAUG